UUCUAAUAUGGCAGAUUAUA
Molecule: transfer RNA, 20 nt
Filed under: Papilio zelicaon
Lineage: Eukaryota; Metazoa; Arthropoda; Insecta; Lepidoptera; Papilionidae
Description: partial tRNA-Leu
Source: RNAcentral